GAUGAACGCUGGCGGCGUGCUUAACACAUGCAAGUCGAACGGAAAGGCUCCUGCUUGCAGGGGUACUCGAGUGGCGAACGGGUGAGUAACACGUGGGUGAUCUGCCCUGCACUUCGGGAUAAGCCUGGGAAACUGGGUCUAAUACCGGAUAGGACGAUGGUUUGGAUGCCAUUGUGGAAAGUUUUUCGGUGUGGGAUGAGCUCGCGGCCUAUCAGCUUGUUGGUGGGGUAAUGGCCUACCAAGGCGUCGACGGGUAGCCGGCCUGAGAGGGUGUACGGCCACAUUGGGACUGAGAUACGGCCCAGACGCCUACGGGAGGCAGCAGUGGGGAAUAUUGCACAAUGGGCGCAAGCCUGAUGCAGCGACGCCGCGUGGGGGAUGACGGCCUUCGGGUUGUAAACUCCUUUCGCUAGGGACGAAGCGCAAGUGACGGUACCUGGAGAAGAAGCACCGGCUAACUACGU
This 464-nucleotide ribosomal RNA is filed under the name uncultured bacterium. Its description in RNAcentral is "partial 16S ribosomal RNA". It matches the Rfam family "Bacterial small subunit ribosomal RNA", at positions 28 to 506 of the family's 1533-position model. The record is from RNAcentral.